This 560-nucleotide ribosomal RNA is filed under the name uncultured bacterium. RNAcentral's name for it is "partial 16S ribosomal RNA". It matches the Rfam family "Bacterial small subunit ribosomal RNA", at positions 355 to 907 of the family's 1533-position model. The record is from RNAcentral.
UGGGGAAUUUUGGACAAUGGGGGAAACCCUGAUCCAGCCAUCCCGCGUGUGCGAUGAAGGCCUUCGGGUUGUAAAGCACUUUUGGCAGGAAAGAAACGUCGUGGGUUAAUACCCCGCGAAACUGACGGUACCUGCAGAAUAAGCACCGGCUAACUACGUGCCAGCAGCCGCGGUAAUACGUAGGGUGCAAGCGUUAAUCGGAAUUACUGGGCGUAAAGCGUGCGCAGGCGGUUCGGAAAGAAAGAUGUGAAAUCCCAGAGCUUAACUUUGGAACUGCAUUUUUAACUACCGGGCUAGAGUGUGUCAGAGGGAGGUGGAAUUCCGCGUGUAGCAGUGAAAUGCGUAGAUAUGCGGAGGAACACCGAUGGCGAAGGCAGCCUCCUGGGAUAACACUGACGCUCAUGCACGAAAGCGUGGGGAGCAAACAGGAUUAGAUACCCUGGUAGUCCACGCCCUAAACGAUGUCAACUAGCUGUUGGGGUCUUCGGACCUUGGUAGCGCAGCUAACGCGUGAAGUUGACCGCCUGGGGAGUACGGUCGCAAGAUUAAAAACUCAAAUG